This 1280-nucleotide ribosomal RNA is filed under the name sediment metagenome. RNAcentral describes it as "bacterial LSU rRNA". It matches the Rfam family "Bacterial large subunit ribosomal RNA", at positions 1049 to 2382 of the family's 2925-position model. The record is from RNAcentral.
GAAGCCAUGCUCAGUGCGAAAGGAAGUUGGAUUCCUGAGACAGCCAGGAUGUUGGCUUAGAAGCAGCCACCAUUUAAAAAGUGCGUAAUAGCUUACUGGUCAAGGAGUCCUGCGCCGAUAAUGAACGGGACUAAGCAUGGCACCGAAGCGGCGGGUAUCCGUAAGGGUACGGUAGGAGAGCGUUGCACUGUAGGUUGAAGGUGGACGGAUAACGACCACUGGACGACGUGCAAGUGAUUAUGCCGGAACGAGUAACGAUAAAACGGGUGAGAAUCCCGUUCGCCGUAAGCCUAAGGUUUCCUGGGGAAGGUAAAUCCGCCCAGGGUUAGUCGGAUCCUUAGUCGAGGCCGAUAGGCGUAGACGAUGGACAGCAGGUUAAUAUUCCUGCACCGCCUCUGGCGGUCGAUGGCACCAGGACGUUGAAUGAAAUGGGUACGCCCGGUUAGAAAUGGGCGGUCCGUAAGGACGAGGCCAUAUACGAUGCCGAAGUCCCAGGCAGUUCAACCAAGAAAAGCCGGUGCCGGACAAGAGAGGCGCCCGUACUAAAACUGACACAGGUAGGCGAGAUGAAUAUUCUAAGGCGCUCGAGAGAACGCUCGUGAAGGAACUCUGCAAAUUGACCCCGUAACUUCGGGAAAAGGGGUGCUCUCUUCCCACGGGAAUGUAGAGCCGCAGCGAAAAGGUUCUAGCGACUGUUUACUAAAAACACAGGUCUGUGCUAAGGCGCAAGCCGCUGUAUACAGACUGACGCCUGCCCGGUGCUGGUAAGUUAAGGGAGAGGGUUAGCCCGUAAGGGUGAAGCUCGCAACCGAAGCUCCAGUAAACGGCGGCCGUAACUAUGACGGUCCUAAGGUAGCGAAGUUCCUUGUCGGGUAAGUUCCGACCUGCAUGAAUGGCGUAACGACUGGAGCACUGUCUCAACCACCACCCCGGUGAAAUUGACGUAGUGGUGAAGAUGCCACUUUCCCGCGGCUAGACGGAAAGACCCCAUGAACCUUUACUGUAGGCUGAUAUUGGGUCUAGAUAGCUCUUGUGUAGGAUAGGUGGGACGCGAUGAAGCCCGGACGCCAGUUCGGGUGGAGCGGCCGUUGAAAUACCACCCUGGAUCUAUUUGGAUUCUAACACCGACCCGUGAAUCCGGGCGGUGGAAAGUGUCAGUUGGGCAGUUUGACUGGGGCGGUCUCCUCCUAAAGAGUAACGGAGGAGCUCAAAGGUACCCUCAGCCUGGUUGGCAAUCAGGCGUAGAGCGUAAAGGUAGAAGGGUGCUUGACUGCGAGACU